GCUGCCUUAGCUCAGUUGGUAGAGCGGCUGACUUGUAAUCAGCAGGUCGUGGGUUCGAAUCCUACAGGCAGCACCA
Molecule: transfer RNA, 76 nt
Filed under: Leptospiraceae bacterium
Lineage: Bacteria; Pseudomonadati; Spirochaetota; Leptospiria; Leptospirales; Leptospiraceae
Description: tRNA-Thr
Rfam family: tRNA
About the family: Transfer RNA (tRNA) molecules are approximately 80 nucleotides in length.
Source: RNAcentral